AGAGUUUGAUCAUGGCUCAGAAUCAACGCUGGCGGCGUGCCUAACACAUGCAAGUCGAACGCGAAAGUCCCGCAAGGGAUAAGUAGAGUGGCAAACGGGUGAGUAACACGUGGGUGACCUGCCUUCGAGCGGGGGAUAACGUCCCGAAAGGGACGCUAAUACCGCAUAACAUCCUGCCUUUGAAGAGGCGGUGAUCAAAGCUGGGGAUCGCAAGACCUAGCACUCGAAGAGGGGCCCGCGUCCGAUUAGCUAGUUGGUGGGGUAAUGGCCCACCAAGGCAACGAUCGGUAGCCGGCCUGAGAGGGCGGACGGCCACACUGGGACUGAGACACGGCCCAGACUCCUACGGGAGGCAGCAGUGGGGAAUUGUUCGCAAUGGGCGCAAGUCUGACGACGCAACGCCGCGUGGAGGAUGAAGAUCUUCGGGUCGUAAACUCCUUUCGGGAGGGAAGAUGGGAUGGGGUAACCCAUUCGGACGGUACCUCCAGAAGCAGCCACGGCUAACUUCGUGCCAGCAGCCGCGGUAAUUC
Molecule: ribosomal RNA, 530 nt
Filed under: uncultured bacterium
Lineage: Bacteria
Description: bacterial SSU rRNA
Rfam family: Bacterial small subunit ribosomal RNA
Source: RNAcentral